Long non-coding RNA from Halichondria panicea, 314 nucleotides. RefSeq lists it as uncharacterized. The transcript has 3 exons. The record is from RefSeq and is a predicted model, not a curated record. Lineage: Eukaryota; Metazoa; Porifera; Demospongiae; Suberitida; Halichondriidae.
CGGGCUCGAGUUGUAUUAGCUGUACAUCCCCUGUACCUGAGUACUAACCUAUACUUGCUGUGUGAUAGUCGUACGGUAGCUACAUGUAGCUGGCUAUAGUGUUCUAAGAAAUCAAGUUGGUGAACUGUUCUACUAAACAAAGAAUCCUCAUCCUUUACGGACAGCUACAGAGCAGUCAUACGAAUGGGUCACCAAGUUUUUGGGGGAAGAGUUAUGAGAGAAUAAACGACGAAAGUGUCAGUUGGAAGAGCCAAGGGUGUACUUCGGCAGACUGUAGCACGUUCACUGAACCACUACCAAAGAGGACAUUCAAG